This 321-nucleotide long non-coding RNA is filed under the name Homo sapiens (human). RNAcentral's name for it is "HSALNT0398779". Lineage: Eukaryota; Metazoa; Chordata; Mammalia; Primates; Hominidae. The record is from RNAcentral.
GGGUGGAUCUGACCUAGUCAGUGGAGCUCUUUAAAGCUGGACCUAGAGAUCAAAGAUGGGAAGCACUGAGGUUCUCCUGCUGGCCGUGAACCCAGGGCUCCAUGCCUUCCUCAGAAGCACGGAAAUGAGGCCGGGCGCGGUGGCUCACGCCUGUAGUCCUAGCACUUUGGGAGGCCGAGGCGGGCGGAUCACGAGGUCAGGAGAUCGAGACCAUCCUGGCUAACACGGUGAAGCCCCGUCUCUACUAAAAAUACAAAAAAUUAGCCGGGCGUGGUGGCGGGCGCCUGUAGUCCCAGCUACUCGGGGGUCUGAGGCAGGAGA